UGGGGAAUAUUGCACAAUGGGCGCAAGCCUGAUGCAGCCAUGCCGCGUGUAUGAAGAAGGCCUUCGGGUUGUAAAGUACUUUCAGCGGGGUGGAAGGGAGUAAAGUUAAUACCUUUGCUCAUUGACGUUACCCGCAGAAGAAGCACCGGCUAACUCCGUGCCAGCAGCCGCGGUAAUACGGAGGGUGCAAGCGUUAAUCGGAAUUACUGGGCGUAAAGCGCACGCAGGCGGUUUGUUAAGUCAGAUGUGAAAUCCCCGGGCUCAACCUGGGAACUGCUUCUGAUACUGGCAAGCUUGAGUCUCGUAGAGGGGGGUAGAAUUCCAGGUGUAGCGGUGAAAUGCGUAGAGAUCUGGAGGAAUACCGGUGGCGAAGGCGGCCCCCUGGACGAAGACUGACGCUCAGGUGCGAAAGCGUGGGGAGCAAACAGG
RNAcentral lists this ribosomal RNA (429 nucleotides) under Chloroflexota bacterium. RNAcentral's name for it is "Chloroflexi bacterium partial 16S ribosomal RNA". It matches the Rfam family "Bacterial small subunit ribosomal RNA", at positions 355 to 776 of the family's 1533-position model. The record is from RNAcentral. Lineage: Bacteria; Bacillati; Chloroflexota.